CCCGUAAUCCGGGUUGCGGACAGUGUCUGGUGGGUAGUUUGACUGGGGCGGUCUCCUCCUAAAGAGUAACGGAGGAGCACGAAGGUUGGCUAAUCCUGGUCGGACAUCAGGAGGUUAGUGCAAUGGCAUAAGCCAGCUUGACUGCGAGCGUGACGGCGCGAGCAGGUGCGAAAGCAGGUCAUAGUGAUCCGGUGGUUCUGAAUGGAAGGGCCAUCGCUCAACGGAUAAAAGGUACUCCGGGGAUAACAGGCUGAUACCGCCCAAGAGUUCAUAUCGACGGCGGUGUUUGGCACCUCGAUGUCGGCUCAUCACAUCCUGGGGCUGAAGUAGGUCCCAAGGGUAUGGCUGUUCGCCAUUUAAAGUGGUACGCGAGCUGGGUUUAGAACGUCGUGAGACAGUUCGGUCCCUAUCUGCCGUGGGCGCUGGAGAACUGAGGGGGGCUGCUCCUAGUACGAGAGGACCGGAGUGGACGCAUCACUGGUGUUCGGGUUGUCAUGCCAAUGGCACUGCCCGGUAGCUAAAUGCGGAAGAGAUAAGUGCUGAAAGCAUCUAAGCACGAAACUUGCCCCGAGAUGAGUUCUCCCUGAGACUUUAGGUCUCCUGAAGGAACGUUGAAGACGACGACGUUGAUAGGCCGGGUGUGUAAGCGCAGCGAUGCGUUGAGCUAACCGGUACUAAUGAACCGUGAGGCUUAACCUUACAACGCCGAAG
Molecule: ribosomal RNA, 711 nt
Filed under: Salmonella enterica subsp. enterica serovar Kentucky
Lineage: Bacteria; Pseudomonadati; Pseudomonadota; Gammaproteobacteria; Enterobacterales; Enterobacteriaceae
Description: partial 23S ribosomal RNA
Rfam family: Bacterial large subunit ribosomal RNA
Source: RNAcentral